GAACGAACGCUGGCGGCAUGCCUAACACAUGCAAGUCGAACGAGACCUUCGGGUCUAGUGGCGCACGGGUGCGUAACGCGUGGGAAUCUGCCCCUUGGUUCGGAAUAACAGUUAGAAAUGACUGCUAAUACCGGAUGAUGACGAAAGUCCAAAGAUUUAUCGCCGAGGGAUGAGCCCGCGUAGGAUUAGCUAGUUGGUGAGGUAAAGGCUCACCAAGGCGACGAUCCUUAGCUGGUCUGAGAGGGUGAUCAGCCACACUGGGACUGAGACACGGCCCAGACUCCUACGGGAGGCAGCAGUGGGGAAUAUUGGACAAUGGGCGAAAGCCUGAUCCAGCAAUGCCGCGUGAGUGAUGAAGGCCUUAGGGUCGUAAAGCUCUUUUACCAGGGAUGAUAAUGACAGUACCUGGAGAAUGAGCUCCGGCUAACUCCGUG
RNAcentral lists this ribosomal RNA (434 nucleotides) under uncultured bacterium. Its description in RNAcentral is "bacterial SSU rRNA". It matches the Rfam family "Bacterial small subunit ribosomal RNA", at positions 27 to 507 of the family's 1533-position model. The record is from RNAcentral.